This 489-nucleotide ribosomal RNA is filed under the name uncultured bacterium. RNAcentral's name for it is "partial 16S ribosomal RNA". It matches the Rfam family "Bacterial small subunit ribosomal RNA", at positions 28 to 507 of the family's 1533-position model. The record is from RNAcentral.
GACGAACGCUGGCGGCGUGCUUAACACAUGCAAGUCGAACGGAAAGGCCCCCAUCUUGGUGGGGGUGCUCGAGUGGCGAACGGGUGAGUAACACGUGGGUGAUCUGCCCUGUACUUCGGGAUAAGCUCGGGAAACUGGGUCUAAUACCGGAUAGGACCAUGGUUUAGUGUCUCAUGGUGGAAAGAUUAUUGUUUUGGUGCAGGAUGAGCUCGGGGCCUAUCAGCUGGUUGGUGGGGUAAUGGCCUACCAAGGCGUCGACGGGUAGCCGGCCAGAGAGGGUGGACGGCCACGUUGGGAGAGACGGACCACACAGCCACGGGAGGGAGGCGGCGGGGGGGAAUAUUGCACAAUGGGCGCAAGCCGGAGGCACCGAGGCCGCGUGGGGGAGGUCGGCCUUCGGGUAGUCAACUCCUUUCGUUAGGAACGAAGCUGCACUUUUUUUGGCUGUGGUGACGGUACCUUUGUUAAGAAGCACCGGCUAACUACGUG